GAUGAACGCUAGCGGCAGGCUUAAUACAUGCAAGUCGUGGGGCAGCAGGACUGUAGCAAUACAGUUGCUGGCGACCGGCAAACGGGUGCGGAACACGUACGCAACUUACCCUGAACUGGGGGAUAGCCCGGGGAAACCCGGAUUAAUACCCCGUAAUAUACUGGAGUGGCAUCCCUUUAUUAUUAAAGCUCCGGCGGUUCGGGAUGGGCGUGCGGCUGAUUAGGUAGUUGGUUGAGGUAACGGCUCACCAAGCCUACGAUCAGUAACUGGUGUGAGAGCACGACCAGUCACACGGGCAAUGAGACACGGGCCCGAAUCGUACGGAAGGCAGGAGUAAGGAAUAUUGGGCAAGGGAGGCUACUCCGACCCAGCCAUGCCGCGUGGAGGAGGAAGGCCCUCGGGGUUGUAAACUUCUUUGAUAGGGGACGAAACCUGUGUAUUCUUACGCAGUUGACGGUACCCGAGGAAUAAGCACCGGCUAACUCCGUG
Molecule: ribosomal RNA, 489 nt
Filed under: uncultured bacterium
Lineage: Bacteria
Description: partial 16S ribosomal RNA
Rfam family: Bacterial small subunit ribosomal RNA
Source: RNAcentral